AACGUAGGAGACAAACGUUAUCCGGAGUUACUGGGCGUAAAGGGCGUGCAGGUGGUCUGUUAAGUCUGGCGUGAAAGCUCCUGGCUAAACCGGGAGAGGUCGUUGGAUACUGGCGGACUAGAGGACGGUAGAGGCGUGUGGAAUUCCGGGUGUAGUGGUGAAAUGUGUAGAGAUCGGGAGGAACACCGGUGGCGAAGGCGGGCCUCUGGGCAUUUCCUGACGCUGAGGCGCGAAAGCGUGGGGAGCAAACGGG
This 253-nucleotide ribosomal RNA is filed under the name uncultured bacterium. RNAcentral's name for it is "partial 16S ribosomal RNA". It matches the Rfam family "Bacterial small subunit ribosomal RNA", at positions 524 to 776 of the family's 1533-position model. The record is from RNAcentral.